Molecule: ribosomal RNA, 784 nt
Filed under: Lacticaseibacillus zeae
Lineage: Bacteria; Bacillati; Bacillota; Bacilli; Lactobacillales; Lactobacillaceae
Description: bacterial SSU rRNA
Rfam family: Bacterial small subunit ribosomal RNA
Source: RNAcentral
GAUGAACGCUGGCGGCGUGCCUAAUACAUGCAAGUCGAACGAGUUCUGAUUAUUGAAAGGUGCUUGCAUCUUGAUUUAAUUUUGAACGAGUGGCGGACGGGUGAGUAACACGUGGGUAACCUGCCCUUAAGUGGGGGAUAACAUUUGGAAACAGAUGCUAAUACCGCAUAAAUCCAAGAACCGCAUGGUUCUUGGCUGAAAGAUGGCGUAAGCUAUCGCUUUUGGAUGGACCCGCGGCGUAUUAGCUAGUUGGUGAGGUAACGGCUCACCAAGGCAAUGAUACGUAGCCGAACUGAGAGGUUGAUCGGCCACAUUGGGACUGAGACACGGCCCAAACUCCUACGGGAGGCAGCAGUAGGGAAUCUUCCACAAUGGACGCAAGUCUGAUGGAGCAACGCCGCGUGAGUGAAGAAGGCUUUCGGGUCGUAAAACUCUGUUGUUGGAGAAGAAUGGUCGGCAGAGUAACUGUUGUCGGCGUGACGGUAUCCAACCAGAAAGCCACGGCUAACUACGUGCCAGCAGCCGCGGUAAUACGUAGGUGGCAAGCGUUAUCCGGAUUUAUUGGGCGUAAAGCGAGCGCAGGCGGUUUUUUAAGUCUGAUGUGAAAGCCCUCGGCUUAACCGAGGAAGUGCAUCGGAAACUGGGAAACUUGAGUGCAGAAGAGGACAGUGGAACUCCAUGUGUAGCGGUGAAAUGCGUAGAUAUAUGGAAGAACACCAGUGGCGAAGGCGGCUGUCUGGUCUGUAACUGACGCUGAGGCUCGAAAGCAUGGGUAGCGAACAGG